RNAcentral lists this ribosomal RNA (200 nucleotides) under uncultured bacterium. Its description in RNAcentral is "partial 16S ribosomal RNA". It matches the Rfam family "Bacterial small subunit ribosomal RNA", at positions 8 to 200 of the family's 1533-position model. The record is from RNAcentral.
AGAGUUUGAUCCUGGCUCAGGACGAACGCUGGCGGCGUGCCUAAUACAUGCAAGUCGAGCGGAGUUGUGAUGGAGCUUGCUCCUGAACAGCUUAGCGGCGGACGGGUGAGUAACACGUGGGCAACCUGCCUGUAAGAUCGGGAUAACUCACGGAAACGUGUGCUAAGACCGAAUAGUCGGAGUCAACGCAUGUUGAUUCC